CGGUUUCCCGGCGCCAUUUUGUCCCGGCAGCAGCGGCCGCAGGUCUAUCCCAUUUUCUGUGUCUGGAGGCGAGGAAGCGGACUCUGUCCGGUAGGUUUGUGUCUCUACGGCACCGGCUCACCAUUCUCUCCAGAACAACGCCUAGCGAAGGGUAAUGGAGCCGCGAAGCCCUCCGAAAGAGUUAUGCUGAAGACAACAGACCUCCGUGACACCCAGAGUACCACAGGGGAGUGAGUAUUGAUGUAUAUUGAAUUUUUGUGAAUUGGGAAAGUGGGUGUGCUGAGAAGGUUUUCUGUAGACUACCACAAAAAUCUAGAAUAAGAGUGGUUGUCGGAAGGUUUUGUUAGUUCAGGCUUUCAAACGAGUUGGUUUAAUAUAGCUUCCUGAUGUUAGACCAGAAUGAAAUCCAGAGAUAAAGCCAUCCUAGGUAUUUAGGUUCAUCUUUUCCUGGUGUCUUUCUGAACUUUGGUUUUUUUGAGACAGGAUUUUGGUAGUCCAAACUGGUCUGGAUCUUGCUGUGGCCUUGAAGUAGCCAAGUAGCCAAGAAUGACCUUGACCUGAUCUCCCUGCCUCAGCCUGACCAUGUCACUGUGCCCAGCUGUUAUAAACAGACUUCAUUAUAAACAUUCAGGGUUUUAAGUCAGAAUCUGAAUAUUCUCUUGAAAAGUCUUUCGAGAAAGGUCCUAUUAGUGAGUGUUUAGGAGUGAAGGUUUUUGGUUUUCUGUUGUGGUUAUUCUGUUUUGUACUUUUGAUCCUCCCUGGUGGUAAUCACCCACAGAUAAUUCCGCUAUUCAGUUUUAGAGAUACAUGAUUUACUCUAUUGUACAUUUGAAAAUUAAUGCUAAAGUAAAAAUCUCUUGUAGUUUCUCCACCAAAUUAUUAAAGUUUAUUCUCUAUUCAUAGGAUUCGGAAUGAUUUUUAAAAUGAUUUUAUUUUUAAAUAUACAGUUGUGUUCAUAUUGUUACUUACUUUUUAUUAAGAAAAAAAUUAGGAACCUCAGAAGUAGUUUGCCUAUAAAGCACAUUCCAUGGAUAUCUGGGAUAGAUGAAUCAUGCCUUAAAGUUUUGGUUGUGCUGGGACUGGAUGCAGGCCCAUGGACAGGCAGUAUGACAGGCAGGUGACUUCCAGUGAGAUGUCGUCAGCUGAUGCACCUUAAUUUGUGAGAGCUUCCCUGUUUCUUUUUCUGUAGUAGCUGUGUCAAGCCUUGAGUUUUACAUAAUGUUAAUGCCUAAAAACUAAUAUCAAUGGCUAAAAUUUUGAGGCUUCUUGGUUUUCUUUGACAACCCUGGCUCUUCUUUGGAAUAGAUUUUCAGAAGUGAGAAUGCAAAAAAAUCUCUUCAGUCUUCUAUUUAUUCCUCCCUACUUAGGCCAGGUUUCCCUCUGUUCCCUGAGCUGGCCCAGUACUCCUAAACCCAGAAGUCUUUCCCACCUCAGCUUCCCUACUAGCUAGCUCUGCAAUUGUUAUCCCUACAAAUGUCAUAAUCUUCAUGCUGUACAAACAGUAAACUGGAAAUUAUUUCUUGGACCAUAAGAAUAAUCUCUAAAAGUUUCUAAUUUUUCAUUUUAGAGUACAUGAGAUGUUACUACAUUCAAACAUUUUGCUACCCAGAAACUGACAGGGUAUACAAAAACUAGUUACUACCUUAGAGGCUUCCUUAAUGUUUCCGCACAAAGAGUAGGUUCCCCUCAGGGCUCUGGUAGCCUUAUAGGACCAUUAACAUACUUCUCACCCACUUUCUUGACACUCGUUAGCUGUUUGCUAGGGGUAACAGCUGUAUUAAUCACUCUUGAUUAUUUUGCACCUAGUACAUGUGUAUAAACAUGAACUAUAUGUAUAUUUGUAUAAAAAUAUAUGGAACAAUAAGAUACUGUAUCUAACAGUAAUUCUGAAAAUGUUUUCACAUCUUCUCUUGAUCAUCAAAUUUUCAAUCUUACAAUUUAACUGUUUUUUUGAUUGUUAAUACUAUAUGGAUUGGGGGCUGGGAAGAUGGCCUAGUGGGUGAGUCAUACAGGACAAGCAUGAGAACCUUGGUUCAGAUCCCCAGUGUGCAUAUACAGAGCUGUGUGUUGAGCAUGCCUGUAACUCCAUUGCUCAGUGACUAGGCAAGAUGAUCCCUGAGGCCUUGAUGGCCUGCCAGUGUAGCCAGUCAAUGUGCUUAAAGUUCUAGUCAGAAAGCCUGUCUCACACACAGUAAACAGUGAUACAAAAGACCCCUGACAUCAUUCUUUGGACCUCGGUGCCUCGUGUUCUUGGAGUCAUACACUUCACACACAGUAUGAAGAUAGAGAAAACCCAGUUAAGAAUAUAUCAGCUGGGCCUGGUAAUGAAACCCUUUAGUUCCAGCACUUUGGAGACUAGGGCCAUGAGGCCAUUCUAGGCUACCUAAUGAGAUCUUGUCUCAGAAACAAACAAAAAAAGAAUGUAUCAACAUGCUUGCCCCAGACCUUACUGGAUCAUUGUGUCAUGUGUAAAUGAAAGAAAUAACUCUGGAUAAACUGAUUUGAAAGACGUUUAGAGAUUCCAGUGAGAAUGUAAUUAGCUGCCCUGUGUGGUAUUCUUACUGAAAUAAUAGGUUAGGACGCUUUUACGCUUUUUAAGAAUUUAUUUCAGGGAAUGGUGUGCAUGUGCCAUCAUAUUUGGGUGGUCAGAGGAUAGCUUUGGGAGAGUCGGUUCUCUCCAUCUCCAUCCUUGUAGGCACCAAGGCUGAAUCUCAGUCAUCAGGCUUAGCAGCCCCUUCCUGCAAAAUCAUCUCCUUGGCCCUGGAUAUUUAGUUAUUGUUUGCCCACUCACGUCGUUACAAUUGCUGGGGGGUUUUUUGGUUUUUUUUGUUUUGUUUUUGGUUUUGUUAAUUGUGAUAGGGUUUCACUUUUUCCUGAGGCCAGUCUCAAAAUUCUAGGGCUCAGAGGACCUCCUGCCAUGGCAUCCAAAGUAGUGGGAGCUAUUCCUGUACAUACCCCAUGAUUCCUUGCUUCCACUUUCAAUUAAUAUUUUUAUCACAGGACACUGAACAUUGUGUGUUUUGCUUGAUUUUUUUACUCUUCAUUUAAAAAAGCAUGAUGUAGAAAGUUUGUAUUGGUGAAGAGAGUUCAUAGGCAAAAUAAUUUUUAAAGUAACAGUGUAUGUUCUGGGUCGAAGGUGAAACAUGCUCAAAAUGCGCUUUGUCUUUCAGAAUUGCCCUGACUUUUGUGGGGAAAACCCAGGUGCUUCGGCUCCAGGAGACCUAGGAUUUGUUACCUGUACUGAAAAGCUCUGGUUCUGGUUUGUAAUUUUACUUCAUCCUUAAGUGAGUGAGGUUGGCCAUGUUAUAUGUGUAUGCGUGUGCUUACUUGUGUAACUUUUUGGAAGACAGUUUAUUUGUAGAAAAUCGUAUAUGUUGAGAAGUAGAUUUGAUUCAACUGGGUUGAAUAUAGCUGCUUCCCAAAAGAUUGAGUUUUGUAGGGGAUUACAUAAUUUUAAUCAGACUUUUAUUUUGGGCACCAGGGAUGUCAGUGUUAAUUGUAAGAGUGCUUUACCUGGCAUACACAAGGCUCUAGGCUCAAAAGCCAGAACAGGUGCUAAUGUUGGUAAUUUUAAAGCAUUCUUUCUAGAAUCUACACAGAUGAUCUUUUGCCCUGUUGGACUUUGCUGUUGGUUUUAUGACCACAUGUAUGAGAGUUUUCACUCACAAGUAAUUCGAACUAGAAUAACAGCAUAUUACAGGGUAGGGAUUAAAGCAGAUCUGGGUUACUUAAUGACAUUUGUCCAAAGAGUUCUCCUUAGGAAGCUUAGUGUGAAUAAAAUAAAUAACAUAAUUAAACAAGGAGAGUUAAUCUGAAUACUUCAAAAGAUUUAAACAAUUAGAGUUUUUUCUUUUUUUGUUUUCCGAGACAUUAUUUGUCUGUGUAGCCCUGGAUGUCCUGGAACUGCCGCAGCCUUCUGAGUGCUGGGAUGAAAGGCGUGCACCAUCAUGCCCAGCUGGUUAUUUUUAAGGAUUUAAAUAAUGGCUCCUGGUGAAAGAAAGAUCAGUGCAUGUUCAGUAUACAGUGUACAGUCAGCUCUAGAGACGUUGAAGAAACAUUCCUUUAAGUAAGCAGGACCUAGGGCUUAAAUGGAAGAUUGUGAGCAAGAGUGAUUGAAAAAAAGCUGUUUCGGGUGGUGGUAGACCGGUUGGGAAAGGAUGCCUGGCAAAAGACGAGGUCAGGAAAGUUAGGAGGCCUGUGUUGUCAGCGUUGCAAGACUUAGCUGCACACCACAAUCCUAUGGAGCAUUUGCCCUCUACGGUCAAGGGUUUUUCCUCUCCCAUUCAGUAAGUUUCCUUGGCUUUGCUGACAAGUAUAUGGGCACCCUACCAGUGACUGUACACUCCUGAAGAAAAUGUUUCUCCCUCUAUUAGGUGUUAACUCUUUAUAAAUACUCAGGGAGGAACUAGACCCCACGAGACCCUCUCCCUUAACAGGAUGUUGACAGACCCAAUCCUGUUCAGAUAUUGAGUACAGAUAAUCUUAGCUUUCAUGAGUUAAGGGUACAGCACCAGGUCAGUGUUCCAUUAUCUCUUGGCUUCCUCUGGGGCUUACAUUCUUUCUGCCUCUUCUGUGAUGUGCCCUGAGCCUUGAAGUGGUUAUGUGGAUGUGCUGUUAGAGCUGAGCACUCGACAGUCACUUAUUCUCAGCACAUGCUAACUAGCCUUCCUGUAGAGCUUAGAGGAAGCACAAGGAGACCACCAUGUGGUCUCUGCCAAAAUACCUGUUUGUGACCUUGUACGUUAGCCCUUGCUUCCUCUACAUUGUAGCUCUUUCAGAGUUUCCUAUGGUUUUAAAAUAGCCAAUGAAAUUAUAUUUUGCCACAUAUAGGAGGUAAAGAAACAAAUAUCAUGCAAAAGGCUGUAAACAGUUCAGUCUAAUCUGUGCAACCACAAAUAAAAACUGUUUAACUGAA
Molecule: long non-coding RNA, 4915 nt
Organism: Arvicola amphibius (Eurasian water vole)
Lineage: Eukaryota; Metazoa; Chordata; Mammalia; Rodentia; Cricetidae
Exons: 2
Source: RefSeq, a predicted model, not a curated record